UACGUAGGGUGCGAGCGUUGUCCGGAAUUAUUGGGCGUAAAGAGCUCGUAGGCGGUUUGUCGCGUCGGCCGUGAAAUCUCCACGCUUAACGUGGAGCGUGCGGUCGAUACGGGCAGACUUGAGUUCGGUAGGGGAGACUGGAAUUCCUGGUGUAGCGGUGAAAUGACGGCAGAGUAUCAGGGAGGAACACCGGUGGCGAAGGCGGGUCUCUGGGCCGAUACUGACGCUGGAGGAGCGAAAGCGUGGGGAGCGAACAGG
This 258-nucleotide ribosomal RNA is filed under the name uncultured bacterium. RNAcentral describes it as "partial 16S ribosomal RNA". It matches the Rfam family "Bacterial small subunit ribosomal RNA", at positions 524 to 776 of the family's 1533-position model. The record is from RNAcentral.